CUGAAUAACUUUGCUAAUCGCACAGUCUUUGCACUGGCGAUGUAUCUUUCAAAUGUCUGCCUUAUCAACUGUUGAUGGUAGAUUAUGCGCCUACCAUGGUUGUAACGGGUAACGGAGAAUCAGGGUUUGAUUCCGGAGAGGGAGCCUGAGAAACAGCUACCACAUCCAAGGAAGGCAGCAGGCACGCAAAUUACCCACUCCCAGUUCGGGGAGGUAGUGACGAAAAAUAACGAGACGAUGCUCUACGAGUAUCGUCAUCGGAAUGAGUACAAUCUAAAUACUUUAACGAGUAUCUAUUGGAGGGCAAGUCUGGUGCCAGCAGCCGCGGUAAUUCCAGCUCCAAUAGCGUAUAUUAAAGUUGUUGCGGUUAAAAAG
Molecule: ribosomal RNA, 375 nt
Filed under: Nematoda sp.
Lineage: Eukaryota; Metazoa; Nematoda
Description: SSU rRNA
Rfam family: Eukaryotic small subunit ribosomal RNA
Source: RNAcentral